RNAcentral lists this ribosomal RNA (497 nucleotides) under uncultured bacterium. RNAcentral describes it as "partial 16S ribosomal RNA". It matches the Rfam family "Bacterial small subunit ribosomal RNA", at positions 28 to 507 of the family's 1533-position model. The record is from RNAcentral.
GAUGAACGCUGGCGGCGUGCCUAAUACAUGCAAGUCGAGCGGACGGACGCUGCUCUUGCUUCUCUGAUGUUAGCGGCGGACGUGUGAGUAACGCGUGUAUACCCUACUUAUAAGACGGGUAUCAUUUCGGGAAACCGGCGCUAAUCCCGUAUGAUCUUUUGCACCGCAUUGUUCAAAAGUGAGAGUCGGCCUUUCUGUCUCUUAUCGCUGGAUCCGCGCUUGAUUAGAUAGUUGUUAAGGUAACGGCUUACCAAGGCUACGAUGCAUAGACGACGUGAGAGGGGGAUCGGCCACACGGGAACUUGGCCAGGGUCCAGACGACUGAGGGAGGAAGCAGAAGGGAACGUGCCGCAAUGGGCGAGAGCCUGACGGAGCAACGCCGCGUGAGUGAUGAAGGUCUCCGGAUCGUAAUAAUCGGUUAUGAGGGAAGAACAUAUGUGGAAGUAACUGAGCACAGAGUGACGGUAACUAAUCAGAAAGCAACGGCUAACUACGUG